This 506-nucleotide ribosomal RNA is filed under the name uncultured bacterium. RNAcentral's name for it is "partial 16S ribosomal RNA". It matches the Rfam family "Bacterial small subunit ribosomal RNA", at positions 29 to 523 of the family's 1533-position model. The record is from RNAcentral.
AGUGAACGCUGGCGGUAGGCCUAACAAAUGCAAGUCGAACGGCAGCACAGGAGAGCUUGCUCUCUGGGUGGCGAGUGGCGGACGGGUGAGGAAUACAUCGGAAUCUACUCUGUCGUGGGGGAUAAAGUAGGGAAACUUACGCUAAUACCGCAUACGACCUACGGGUGAAAGCAGGGGACCUUCAGGCCUUGCGCGAUUGAAUGAGCCGGUGUCGGAUUAGCUAGUUGGCGGGGUAAAGGCCCACCAAGGCGACGAUCCGUAGCUGGUCUGAGAGGAUGAACAGCCACAAUGGAACUGAGACACGGUCCAAACUCCUACGGGAGGCAGCAGUGGGGAAUAUUGGACAAUGGGGGAAAGCCUGAUCCAGCCAUACCGCGUGGGUGAAGAAGGCCUUCGGGUUGUAAAGCCCUAUUGUUGGGAAAGAAAUCCAGCUGGCUAAUACCCGGUUGGGAUGACGGUACCCAAAGAAUAAGCACCGGCUAACUUCGUGCCAGCCGCCGCGGUAA